Non-coding RNA from Hordeum vulgare subsp. vulgare (domesticated barley), 125 nucleotides. NCBI's taxonomy places the organism in Eukaryota, Viridiplantae, Streptophyta, Magnoliopsida, Poales, Poaceae. The record is from Rfam.
CACAUACUCCCUUCGUUCGGAAUUACUUCUCAAAUAAACGGAUAAAAAUGGAUGUAUCUAUAACUAAAAUAUGUCUAAAUACACUCAUUCAUCUCACAAGUAUUUCCGAACGAAGGGAGUAACAU